This 441-nucleotide ribosomal RNA is filed under the name uncultured bacterium. RNAcentral's name for it is "partial 16S ribosomal RNA". It matches the Rfam family "Bacterial small subunit ribosomal RNA", at positions 338 to 795 of the family's 1533-position model. The record is from RNAcentral.
CCUACGGGAGGCAGCAGUGGGGAAUCUUCCACAAUGGGGGAAACCCUGAUGCAGCGACGCCGCGUGAGUGAAGAAGUAUUUCGGUAUGUAAAGCUCUAUCAGCAGGGAAGAAAAUGACGGUACCUGACUAACAAGCCUCGGCUAACUACGUGCCAGCAGCCGCGGUAAUACGUAGGGGGCAAGCGUUAUCCGGAUUUACUGGGUGUAAAGGGAGCGGAGGUGGCAUGGUAAGCCAGGAGUGGAAACCCGGGGCUCAAACCGGCGGAUUGCAUUUGGAACUAUCGGGCUGGAGUGCUGGAGGGGUAAGCGGAAUUCCUAGUGUAGCGGUGAAAUGCGUAGAUAUAAGGAGGAACACCGGUGGCGAAGGCGGCUUACUGGACAGAAACUGACACUGAGGCUCGAAAGCGUGGGGAGCAAACAGGAUUAGAUACCCGGGUAGUC